Non-coding RNA from Pelobates cultripes (western spadefoot toad), 230 nucleotides. NCBI's taxonomy places the organism in Eukaryota, Metazoa, Chordata, Amphibia, Anura, Pelobatidae. The record is from the annotation of a GenBank genome assembly.
GUGUGAGCAGGCACAUCUCCUGCAUCGUGACAGCCAUUAUACCACCAACAGCAGACAGUGCAUUGUGGGCGGCAGUAUGCUGGGGACUGGGAGGAAUGAGGCAGCACAGCGACAUUGCUCCCCCUGUGAACACCUGUCCUGCAGGAUCACUAGCGGGAACGGCGUUCCUGCUUUGAAAAAAGUGCAGGAACGCCGUUCCCAUGCGUUCCUGCAGGACUCGAGCCCUGUUG